UACGUAGGGGGCUAGCGUUGUUCGGAAUUACUGGGCGUAAAGGGCUCGUAGGCGGCCAACUAAGUCCGACGUGAAAUCCCCAGGCUUAACCUGGGAACUGCGUCGGAUACUGGAUGGCUGGAAUUCGGGAGAGGGAUGCAGAAUUCCAGGUGUAGCGGUGAAAUGCGUAGAUAUCUGGAGGAAUACCGGUGGCGAAGGCGGCAUCCUGGACCGACAUUGACGCUGAGGAGCGAAAGCUAGGGGAGCAAACGGG
Molecule: ribosomal RNA, 253 nt
Filed under: uncultured bacterium
Lineage: Bacteria
Description: partial 16S ribosomal RNA
Rfam family: Bacterial small subunit ribosomal RNA
Source: RNAcentral